CAGUCGCCGCGGUAAUACGCAGGUGGCAAGCGUUGUCCGGAAUUAUUGGGCGUAAAGGGCUCGCAGGCGGUUUCUUAAGUCUGAUGUGAAAGCCCCCGGCUCAACCGGGGAGGGUCAUUGGAAACUGGGAAACUUGAGUGCAGAAGAGGAGAGUGGAAUUCCACGUGUAGCGGUGAAAUGCGUAGAGAUGUGGAGGAACACCAGUGGCGAAGGCGACUCUCUGGUCUGUAACUGACGCUGAGGAGCGAAAGUGUGGGGAGCGAACAGGAUUAGAUACCCCGGUAGUCCCUGUCUCUUAUAA
RNAcentral lists this ribosomal RNA (301 nucleotides) under uncultured bacterium. RNAcentral's name for it is "partial 16S ribosomal RNA". It matches the Rfam family "Bacterial small subunit ribosomal RNA", at positions 509 to 809 of the family's 1533-position model. The record is from RNAcentral.